AUGCAGUACAGCUCUAGAGGAUACUAUGGUGAAAGUGUGUGUGGGGACAGUUUAGUUCUUCCAUCCCAUCCUGCUGACAGCUGUUCCCACCCCAUGCCCUUGCCCCUGCCACCUGAGCUCCAUAGGACUCCCUGUUCUCCAGCACAUCUCCUAUGGUUCUGUUUGUUGUUGCUUCUGUGUGCGUGUAGAUGCCUUAAGCACGUGUUUUGCCCGGUGCAGGUGUCACUCAGCUGCCUGUGCAAUCUGGGGAAAACAAACAAGAUGUGGCAACUUUUGGAGCAGAAAGUGAACGCAGCCCGCUGUGACCUGCUCUUCACUGAGGACAUCAAUCGAAGGAUGCAGGUCCCCAACAGACUCACUGUGGCAAAUAGCUUCAGCCCUGUGGAUGAGGAGCCCAUGCCUGAAGGUGUACCCCCUUCCUUUCCAACACACAUCCCUGUUAGGAUUUCACUUGCAGCAUCAGAUGCAGAUCUGAGACCCAUCCUGCUGGACCAGCAGAGGAAUGUCCCCUGCACUGAGGUGUGCGUGUCCCUAGACUCCUCGGCUCAGCACUUUGCACUGGGGGAGCUUCCUUUUAUGCACAUGGCUGGCAGAUCAAGUGCCCAGAAUCGCAGACGACUGGGCCACCACAGCAGCAGGUCACGGCGGCAGAGCCAGCACAGCAGUGGAUCACGGCGGUCCCCAAGUGACAGCACCCAGCUGGCCUUGCCCAGCCCAGCCCUGCACCAUGAGCGGCUGGAUACCUGCCCCCCACCAGCUCACAGUGCUCCACUUCCCCUCCUUGCCAGGACGGGCAGGAUCUAUUCCAUGCAGAACAUCUUCCAGACCAUGUACCUGCUGGGCCAGGUGCUCUUCCACCGUUUCCAGAACUCUCUGCGAGACCCAGUGCCAUCCAGCUCCCAGGAGGUUGGCGCAGCCCCAGAGGAGGUCAUCGUGGCUGAGGCUGCAGCAAUGAAAAAGGAGCUGGCAAGGAUCUCGGAGCGGCUGUGUGUGCUGGAGGAGCAGCACAAGGCUUGGCGGAAAGAGGAGCCCCUGGUGUACUCCAUGCUGCUCUCUGCCUGCCUCGUCAACACCUGGCUCUGGCUGUGGAGAUGACUCUGUGCCUUGGGCUCCCUGACCCACCCUGGGUGAGAGCAGAGAAAGGAUCCUUGCUCACUUAUUGUGGAUGGUAAAACUGUGUGUUUCUUCUGAACUUGACCUGCUUCUUGGUAUCCUUUAGGAUCUGAGGUGGAACCAUAAAGCUGGACUUGGUGCCACAGCAGCUGGAGAUGGAUGACAGGGAGUGGUGGGGUGGGACAGAGAGCAUGGUCCAGUGUGCACAGUCCCAGGGCUGGGCUGUGUUUGGUGUGUGGUAGCAACUAUGUGGCAUGUUUGAUGGGGUCAAUUGUCACAUGGGAAGCUGCUGUGGAAAACCCAAGCCUCAUAAGAAAUUUGUGAAUGACACAGGAGGUAUUUGUCCUGCAUAGAUCAAUGGGAGAGCCUCUGCCCCUUGGGCUGUGUAUUGGAGGAGGCACAAAGCCAAGUGUUAGGUUUCUGUGGACAUCAGGUCCUGUUACAAUCUUAGGCCAUGUUGAACUGGUCCCCUCCUGUGUCACAGCUUGGAUAACUUAGUUCUGCCUCCAUAAAAUUUCUCAGCCAAUUCAUAGAACCGCAGAAUGGCUUGGAUUGGAGGGGAACUUUCAGCCCACCCAGUCCCAGCCCCUGCCAUGGGCUGGCUGCUCCCAAACAGCUCAGGCUGCCCCCCCCAUCCCACCUGGCCUUGAGCACCUCCAGGGAUGGGCACCCACAGAUCUCUGGGCAUCAGCACCAGUUGCUGUGGUCCCUUCUUCAACUUCUACCCCAAAAGCUUGUGCAGAGUGUUUGGGUGUUUUUGAACUGCUGCUAGGUUUUCUUUGUUUCCCUGAGCAACUGUGUGAGUUGUCCUGUGCCAGGGCAGCCCCUGCUCCAGGAGAGGGGUGGGCCUGGAGGAGCCAGGGGCUGCCAUCUGCAGGGGAGUUGGACCAAAUGACCUUUAAAGGUCCCUUCCAACUCAAACAAUUCUAUGAUUCUAUGGUCUCUGCUGUGGCACCACCUCCUCGGCUCCUGUUGUGCUGGAGGCUCUCAGCAGUGGUUUUGCAAGCACUCGGAUCCCAGGUGGCUAUAAGAGCACUGCUGAGUUCUGGACUCUGGACUUAUCCAGGAGCUUGGCUUUUUCCCAGAGAGAUGUACAUGGGAAACCUCCCCAGGGUAAUUGUAAGACCUUGUAAUAACAGCGCAGGCAGCAGACAGGCCAUGGACAGUUGCCCAUUUGGGCAGCAGUGGUUAUCUGUGAGAUUGCCAGUGCCAGAGGGCAGGAUCACUCCCAGUCUGCUGCCAAGUUGUAACUUCAGCAUGGUACAACAGCACAGGUGAGGGGAAUCCUUGGCUCAGGUGCCAAAAACCAAGCCCAGUUCAACAGCUCUGCUGUUUCUUUCCUUCCUUGAUGUUUAGGAACACUUGGAUUCACAGUGAACUGUGGUUCAUCCAACACAUCUGCUAGAGUGGUGCCUGCAGGCCUGGGGCAGGUGUUGGCAAUAGGACUUCUCUGUCCCACCUAUAAAUGAUUGUAGCUGGAUCUGCAAAUCACCCAGAUGUCUCAAUGGCUUAUUUACAGACAUGGAUGCUUAGCUGUUCCCUGCCUGCUGCUGCAUCAAGUCUGCAUGGCUGUAAAUCUGGCAGCUGGACAUUUACUAAUAAAUAACUGUCCCACAAGUAAUUGCA
This 2739-nucleotide long non-coding RNA is filed under the name Phasianus colchicus (ring-necked pheasant). RNAcentral's name for it is "lncRNA (ENSPCLG00000006545.1)". The record is from RNAcentral. Lineage: Eukaryota; Metazoa; Chordata; Aves; Galliformes; Phasianidae.